GGCCCCUUCCCUAACGAAAGAUACACCAUUAUGGACUAUGAGGCGCUGUAUCCCUCCAUCUAUCAAGCCCCAGCGGCACUUAUGCUAUACCGCUUUAUCAUGGACCACUUACCAGAGAAUGCUGCCCAUGCUCAUACGAUUAGGGAGAUUUGCCACCUCAUUACCUACAAUUCGUAUUACGUUUUUCAAGGACGUUACUAUUUGCAAACCAGGGGAGUUCCUAUAGGGGGCCCUUUAGCAGGUGUUAUGGCAGAAUUGGUAAUUCGAUUUAAAGAGUCUGCUGUCCUAGAAUAUUAUAGGCCAUGCCUAAAAUUGUACCUA
This 321-nucleotide long non-coding RNA is filed under the name Androctonus crassicauda. The record is from RNAcentral. Lineage: Eukaryota; Metazoa; Arthropoda; Arachnida; Scorpiones; Buthidae.